AGCGACCUAAGGAUGUCCACAGAUCUCUGUCAGGUCUACAGUCCUCCGCUCUACCAGCUGAGCUAUCGAAGGGGGCACUCUGAUAGGGUUGUGCUCUGGAUACCCAAGUUGAAAGCAUAAUGUCAUGCAUCGCCAAAGGACACCCAGGAGAAGUUUCCAGGAUACAUUUUUCUCUUCCCUCCUUUCUUCUCCCCCUACCCCAUUUGAAUCCGAUUCCAAAUCUGAGACCGAGAGCAGCUCCUCUCUCUCUGGAAACUAAAGGAAAAGAUCUCCUUUCAGAUGAACUAUCUGCCCCGAAAGCGAAGCUCUUGGGAUCUAGAAUGUACGGCUUCCUGAAGGCAGGGGUCCCGACAACCCCAGCCUGGCGCCCAGCAAGCCUGACAGCCCAGAAACGAAGUAUUGACCGGAUGAAGGAGCUUCCAGACUUGGACCCCAGACCGCCCGGGGAGGGGAUGGGGGCGGUGGAAGAAAGAAGAGCACCUCGGUCACCCUUGUGAGUUAGGUUCUUUUUGGUUCUGAGGCAGGAAAGCACUCUUGGAGACCCCAGGAAAAGGAGGCUGUGCAUUGGAGGAUGAGGAGAAA
This 582-nucleotide long non-coding RNA is filed under the name Heterocephalus glaber (naked mole-rat). Its description in RNAcentral is "lncRNA (ENSHGLG00100029210.2)". Lineage: Eukaryota; Metazoa; Chordata; Mammalia; Rodentia; Bathyergidae. The record is from RNAcentral.